This 454-nucleotide ribosomal RNA is filed under the name uncultured bacterium. Its description in RNAcentral is "partial 16S ribosomal RNA". It matches the Rfam family "Bacterial small subunit ribosomal RNA", at positions 341 to 792 of the family's 1533-position model. The record is from RNAcentral.
ACGGGAGGCAGCAGUGAGGAAUAUUGGUCAAUGGGCGGAAGCCUGAACCAGCCAUGCCGCGUGAAGGAAUAAGGCCCUAUGGGUCGUAAACUUCUUUUGACGGGGAGCAAUAAGUUCUACGUGUAGAACGAUGAGAGUACUCGUCGAAUAAGCAUCGGCUAACUCCGUGCCAGCAGCCGCGGUAAUACGGGGGAUGCAAGCGUUAUCCGGAUUUAUUGGGUUUAAAGGGUGCGUAGGCUGUUUGUCAAGUCAGGGGUGAAAUGCCGCAGCUCAACUGUGGAAUUGCCUUUGAUACUGGCAGGCUUGAAUACUGUUGCCGUGGGAGGAAUGAGUAGUGUAGCGGUGAAAUGCAUAGAUAUUACUCAGAACACCGAUUGCGAAGGCAUCUCACGAAGCAGACAUUGACGCUGAGGCACGAAAGCGUGGGGAUCAAACAGGAUUAGAUACCCUGGUA